Molecule: ribosomal RNA, 706 nt
Filed under: uncultured Lachnospiraceae bacterium
Lineage: Bacteria; Bacillati; Bacillota; Clostridia; Lachnospirales; Lachnospiraceae
Description: bacterial SSU rRNA
Rfam family: Bacterial small subunit ribosomal RNA
Source: RNAcentral
GAUGAACGCUGGCGGCGUGCUUAACACAUGCAAGUCGAACGAAGCUGCCUGGAGGAAGUUUUUGGAUGGAAUUUAGGUAGACUUAGUGGCGGACGGGUGAGUAACGCGUGGAUAACCUGCCUUAUACAGGGGGAUAACGGAGAGAAAUUUCCGCUAGCACCGCAUAAGACCACAGCACCGCAUGGUGCAGGGGCAAAAUAUUUAUAGGUAUAAGAUGGAUCCGCGUCCGAUUAGCUAGUUGGUGAGGUAAAGGCCCACCAAGGCGACGAUCGGUAGCCGGCCUGAGAGGGUGAACGGCCACAUUGGGACUGAGACACGGCCCAAACUCCUACGGGAGGCAGCAGUGGGGAAUAUUGGACAAUGGGGGAAACCCUGAUCCAGCGACGCCGCGUGAGUGAAGAAGUAUUUCGGUAUGUAAAGCUCUAUCAGCAGGGAAGAAAAUGACGGUACCUGACUAAGAAGCCCCGGCUAACUACGUGCCAGCAGCCGCGGUGAUACUUAGGGGGCAAGCGUUAUCCGGAUUUACUGGGUGUAAAGGGAGCGCAGACGGCAAUGCAAGUCUGAAGUGAAAGGGGUGGGCUCAACCCAUGAACUGCUUUGGAAACUGUAUUGCUUGAUUGUCUGAGGUGGAAUCGGAAUUCUGUGUGGUUGUGGUGAUAUGCGUAUAUAUUAUGAAGAACUGCGGAGUCUAAGUGGUCUUACUUGU